CCCGUGAGGCGGCGGGACCGGCCGGGAGCGAUCGGUGCUCUCAGCUGCCCCCAGGUGCUCUCAGGUGUGCCCAGGACCCCCCCCAGGACGCCCCCCCGGCCUCACCGGCACCGUGGAAGUGGAGUGUGAGGAGGAGGAGGAGGGCCCCGCGCACACAGGUGCCGCGGCGCAGGUGAG
Vidua chalybeata is the source of this 177-nucleotide long non-coding RNA. RefSeq lists it as uncharacterized. NCBI's taxonomy places the organism in Eukaryota, Metazoa, Chordata, Aves, Passeriformes, Viduidae. The record is from RefSeq and is a predicted model, not a curated record. The transcript is spliced from 4 exons.